GACGAACGCUGGCGGCGUGCUUAACACAUGCAAGUCGAACGAAGAGCGAUGGAAGCUUGCUUCUAUCAAUCUUAGUGGCGAACGGGUGAGUAACGCGUAAUCAACCUGCCCUUCAGAGGGGGACAACAGUUGGAAACGACUGCUAAUACCGCAUACGAUCUAACCUCGGCAUCGAGGAUAGAUGAAAGGUGGCCUCUAUUUAUAAGCUAUCACUGAAGGAGGGGAUUGCGUCUGAUUAGCUAGUUGGAGGGGUAACGGCCCACCAAGGCGAUGAUCAGUAGCCGGUCUGAGAGGAUGAACGGCCACAUUGGGACUGAGACACGGCCCAGACUCCUACGGGAGGCAGCAGUGGGGAAUCUUCCGCAGUGGACGAAAGUCUGACGGAGCAACGCCGCGUGAGUGAUGACGGCCUUCGGGUUGUAAAGCUCUGUUAAUCGGGACGAAAGGCCUUCUUGCGAAUAGUUGGAAGGAUUGACGGUACCGGAAUAGAAAGCCACGGCUAACUACGUGCCAGCCGCCGCGGUAA
This 526-nucleotide ribosomal RNA is filed under the name uncultured bacterium. RNAcentral's name for it is "partial 16S ribosomal RNA". It matches the Rfam family "Bacterial small subunit ribosomal RNA", at positions 28 to 523 of the family's 1533-position model. The record is from RNAcentral.